AAACUUUCAACAACGGAUCUCUUGGUUCUGGCAUCGAUGAAGAACGCAGCGAAAUGCGAUAAGUAAUGUGAAUUGC
Molecule: ribosomal RNA, 76 nt
Filed under: Allocalicium adaequatum
Lineage: Eukaryota; Fungi; Ascomycota; Lecanoromycetes; Caliciales; Caliciaceae
Description: 5.8S ribosomal RNA
Rfam family: 5.8S ribosomal RNA
About the family: 5.8S ribosomal RNA (5.8S rRNA) is a component of the large subunit of the eukaryotic ribosome.
Source: RNAcentral